This 253-nucleotide ribosomal RNA is filed under the name uncultured bacterium. RNAcentral's name for it is "partial 16S ribosomal RNA". It matches the Rfam family "Bacterial small subunit ribosomal RNA", at positions 524 to 776 of the family's 1533-position model. The record is from RNAcentral.
GACAGAGGGUGCAAACGUUGUUCGGAAUUACUGGGCGUAAAGCGUGUGUAGGCGGCUAUGUAAGUCGGAUGUGAAAGCCCCAGGCUUAACCUGGGAAGUGCACUCGAAACUGCGUAGCUAGAGUAUCGGAGAGGUUGGUGGAAUUCUCGGUGUAGAGGUGAAAUUCGUAGAUAUCGAGAGGAACACCGGUGGCGAAGGCGGCCAACUGGACGAAUACUGACGCUGAGACACGAAAGCGUGGGGAGCAAACAGG